AUAGAUAUGGCCGGCGAGGGUCACAGUGUAGUAUCAGUUCAUAUCAGCUUAAUAUCUGAUGCGGGUUGUAUUUGGACCUAAGAUAUCAACAUUAUUUUUCCAAGUUGGCGGAGUGCUUAAAGCCUGCCUCGUCUCCGCCGCGGGUCGGCCCGGUAUUGCGCUAUUUUCAGGACCGACCUUCGUAUG
Molecule: small nuclear RNA, 186 nt
Organism: Dermacentor albipictus
Lineage: Eukaryota; Metazoa; Arthropoda; Arachnida; Ixodida; Ixodidae
Product: U2 spliceosomal RNA
Source: RefSeq, a predicted model, not a curated record